UGUAGGAGCCGGCUUGCUGGCGAUAGCGGUGUGUCAGCAACCUUUAUGUGGGCUGACCCACCGCUAUCGCCAGCAAGCCGGCUCCUGCA
Molecule: unclassified non-coding RNA, 89 nt
Filed under: Pseudomonas migulae
Lineage: Bacteria; Pseudomonadati; Pseudomonadota; Gammaproteobacteria; Pseudomonadales; Pseudomonadaceae
Source: RNAcentral